ACGGAGGGCGCGAGCGUUAAUCGGAAUUACUGGGCGUAAAGCGCGCGUAGGCGGCCGAUCAAGUCAGAGGUGAAAGCCCUUGGCUCAACCGUGGAACUGCUUUUGAUACUGUAUAGCUGGAGUGUGGGAGAGGUAGAUGGAAUUCCUGGUGUAGGGGUAAAAUCCGUAGAGAUCAGGAGGAACACCGGUGGCGAAGGCGAUCAACUGGACUAUUAUUGACGCUGAGGCGCGAAAGCGUGGGGAGCAAACAG
Molecule: ribosomal RNA, 251 nt
Filed under: uncultured prokaryote
Description: partial 16S rRNA
Rfam family: Bacterial small subunit ribosomal RNA
Source: RNAcentral